GGGAUGUGGCGGAAUCGGCAGACGCAUCGGACUUAAAAUCCGGUGGUGGCAACACCGUGUGGGUUCAAGUCCCAUCGUCCCC
Molecule: transfer RNA, 82 nt
Filed under: uncultured Bulleidia sp.
Lineage: Bacteria; Bacillati; Bacillota; Erysipelotrichia; Erysipelotrichales; Erysipelotrichaceae
Rfam family: tRNA
About the family: Transfer RNA (tRNA) molecules are approximately 80 nucleotides in length. Their secondary structure includes four short double-helical elements and three loops (D, anti-codon, and T loops). Further hydrogen bonds mediate the characteristic L-shaped molecular structure. tRNAs have two regions of fundamental functional importance: the anti-codon, which is responsible for specific mRNA codon recognition, and the 3' end, to which the tRNAs corresponding amino acid is attached (by aminoacyl-tRNA synthetases). tRNAs cope with the degeneracy of the genetic code in two manners: having more than one tRNA (with a specific anti-codon) for a particular amino acid; and 'wobble' base-pairing, i.e. permitting non-standard base-pairing at the 3rd anti-codon position.
Source: RNAcentral